GACGAACGCUGGCGGCGUGCUUAACACAUGCAAGUCGAACGGAAAGGCCCUGCUUUUGUGGGGUGCUCGAGUGGCGAACGGGUGAGUAACACGUGAGUAACCUGCCCUUGACUUUGGGAUAACUUCAGGAGACUGGGGCUAAUACCGGAUAGGAGCUCCUGCUGCAUGGUGGGGGUUGGAAAGUUUCGGCGGUUGGGGAUGGACUCGCGGCUUAUCAGCUUGUUGGUGGGGUAGUGGCUUACCAAGGCUUUGACGGGUAGCCGGCCUGAGAGGGUGAACGGCCACAUUGGGACUGAGAUACGGCCCAGACUCCUACGGGAGGCAGCAGUGGGGAAUAUUGCACAAUGGGCGGAAGCCUGAUGCAGCAACGCCGCGUGCGGGAUGAAGGCCUUCGGGUUGUAAACCGCUUUCGCCUGUGACGAAGCGUGAGUGACGGUAAUGGGUAAAGAAGCACCGGCUAACUACGUG
This 468-nucleotide ribosomal RNA is filed under the name uncultured bacterium. Its description in RNAcentral is "partial 16S ribosomal RNA". It matches the Rfam family "Bacterial small subunit ribosomal RNA", at positions 28 to 507 of the family's 1533-position model. The record is from RNAcentral.